Long non-coding RNA from Rosa chinensis, 1087 nucleotides. RefSeq lists it as uncharacterized. The transcript has 4 exons. The record is from RefSeq and is a predicted model, not a curated record. NCBI's taxonomy places the organism in Eukaryota, Viridiplantae, Streptophyta, Magnoliopsida, Rosales, Rosaceae.
ACUGGGAAGGAUCAAGUUCAAUUACUACACACCAUGUGUUUGAAGUUAUGCCUCAAAGACAGCACCCAAGCUGAACCAGUGGGCUAUUCCAUGAUUUUCGAAAACCCUAUACUUCUUGUUUUACUCUUAGUUUUUGAUAGCUUAAAAUAGACUCUUCAAUGAUCAUUUUGAGCUUGGUUUCAUGAAAAACGGAGUUAAAAUGAAAUACUUAUGCCAUUUUGAAAUUACUGCACUGUUUCAGAAUUUCUGCAGAAAUCAGUAUUUUCUGCUACUUUGGAUUCUUGUUUGACCACUCAUUUGAACUGCGAAUGACCUGAAAUUUUGCAAAAUAAUAGCUUUACAUGUCUUCUUCAAAUCUGGAGAGUUUUGCAUGAAAUAACUGAAGAGUAGUUGUUGGUGAAUUUUUCUUUCUUGCUACCAGUCUUCUGAAAUUUUCUCAAAUUUGCAGCAACCUUGUUACGAAACAAUCUGUUUGACAGGCCUUCACACCUUUGUCAGUCCUUGAAUUUUAGUAUAUUAAAAUAGACUGAAUAUUAACUUUCUUAUCUGGAUUUCUUGUUAACACUUAAGCACGUUUGUAGAGAAAACAACAACCAUGGGUCUAGAAGAAUGCUAUUCACAUCGAUAUUUACUUUAAAGUCAGUGCAAGAGAAUGAUAACUAUAUAUGCUGCAAUGAGAGAAAAGCCCAAAGAUUUUGCAAGUGAAAGCAUAGCAAGAGCUUAAGUUGGUUUGGGUCAAACUGAGAUUUAAGUUGAAAUUUGCUUUGAAUGUGGUAGGCACAUAUGUGAGCCAUGAUUGAACUAUUGUUGCCAUUGCUGAAGAAAGCUGCCCCUGAUACACCAGAGUAACAAGCCUCCACAAAGAAGGUUGAACAUGGUAUAUGCAAAAGUAUGGAACAACUGCAAGUUGGAGACCAGUGGAGUGGAGCGGGUCAGCCCAGUUUAUCAACUUUUGGUCUUCCUUUUGGGUACUCUUAUGAUGUAGUGGAACUAAAUGAUGAAACAAUUGUGAUGAUUUCUUAAUGAAACUAGCAGUAUUAUGUCUCCAUUGUGAUAUGUGUAAAUAAAAAGAUAAUUGAUUUCUGAA